RNAcentral lists this unclassified non-coding RNA (416 nucleotides) under Brickellia diffusa. RNAcentral describes it as "partial external transcribed spacer". Lineage: Eukaryota; Viridiplantae; Streptophyta; Magnoliopsida; Asterales; Asteraceae. The record is from RNAcentral.
ACUUCCAUGUUAGACACAACCCAACGCACUAGUACAAACCUAUGCGAGUUGAGCAGUCAUUUUAGGUACAGUAGUAGAUAACCUACAUAAAAUGGGACAUAACAAGGAUCACAUGCGACCCAUGCCCAUAUCAUGUUCUAUAUUAAAGAGACCAAGCAGCGUUCAAUACACCACCACAUCAACAAACCUGUUCAUGUUGUGGCUCAAAGAAACAGCAUUAUGGUUUCAUCUGAUGUCAUGAGCAUGACACAAGACAAAAGAAACUAUUACAACCGAAAAAGAUACCUUAUGUAUGAGGCAUACAAAACAGAAAACCCACAAUUUAGUCAGGCCAGAUAAGCCGUAACAUAUGAAUGCAAGGUAUGCCAGGUGGAAGUUGUUGCACAAGCAAAAAAGCCAACCACCAUUAACAAACC